This 449-nucleotide ribosomal RNA is filed under the name uncultured bacterium. RNAcentral's name for it is "partial 16S ribosomal RNA". It matches the Rfam family "Bacterial small subunit ribosomal RNA", at positions 354 to 796 of the family's 1533-position model. The record is from RNAcentral.
GUGGGGAAUCUUCCGCAAUGGACGAAAGUCUGACGGAGCGACGCCGCGUGAGUGAUGAAGGCCUUCGGGUCGUAAAGCUCUGUCAUCGGGGACGAACGGCCUCAGCAGGUAAUGGCUGGGGAUUGACGGUACCCGAGAAGGAAGCCACGGCUAACUACGUGCCAGCAGCCGCGGUAAUACGUAGGUGGCAAGCGUUGUCCGGAAUUAUUGGGCGUAAAGCGCGCGCAGGUGGGAUCUUAAGUCCAUUUUGAAAGUUCGGAGCUCAACUCCGUGAUGGGAUGGAAGCUGGGAUUCUUGAGUACCGGAGAGGAAAGCGGAAUUCCCCGUGUAGCGGUGAAAUGCGUAGAUAUGGGGAGGAACACCAGUGGCGAAGGCGGCUUUCUGGACGGUGUCUGACACUGAGGCGCGAAAGCCAGGGGAGCGAACGGGAUUAGAAACCCCUGUAGUCC